Molecule: long non-coding RNA, 470 nt
Organism: Gallus gallus (chicken)
Lineage: Eukaryota; Metazoa; Chordata; Aves; Galliformes; Phasianidae
Exons: 3
Source: RefSeq, a predicted model, not a curated record
GGCAGGAUGGGGCGGGGCGGAGCGGAGGCUUGUCCUCGAGUGGAACUGAGCGCGCUACUGGGAGCUGGCUGGGGAGAUCAUUUCACAUGGGGAAGAAGAUGAUGCUGGAGCACCAGCAUCCAAAUGGAGCUGGAGUGUGGCUUGCUUCUCCUGAGAUUUCCUGGAUGGAAUUACUGAGAGUGACAAGAUGUCAUGUGUCAUCCCUGCCUCCAGGAAUACUCGAGUGAGGGAUUCACUAGGUCAUCUGUGCCUUAGUGUUUUCCAGGUCCUCUUCAGUUAUCCACCAGAUGGCAACAGAAAUCUAUUUUAACAUGGCAGGAUUCUGCAGCUACACAUGGAAAUCCAACUGUUUUCCUGGAUAGAAGAUUUACAGGAAGACUGCAAAGCCUUCACUCCUACAAAAAAAAAAAAAAAAAAAAAGCGGGGAGUGGGAGAGAUAACAACAUUAAAAACAUUUUAAAAGAUAAAAA